CUCUUAGUAAUAAUUUAGAGUAUUACCUGCUCAAUGAUUAUUUAAAUGGCCGCAGUCAAUCUGUGCUAAGGUAGCAUAAUCAUUUGCUUUCUAAAUAAAAGAUAGAAUGAAAGGUUAUACGAUUAAUAACUUUUUCUUUAAAUUUAAAAAACUUACUUUUAAUGUUAAAAAUCAUUAAUAAAUCAGUUAGACGAUAAGACCCUAUUAAACUUAUUAUUUAGUUGGGGUGACAUUAUAACAAAAUCUUAUAAAAAUAAACAAUAUAACCUUAAUAAAUUAAGAUUUUAAAUUAGUUACUAUAGGGAUAACAGCGCAAUAUUUUUUCAGAGCUCCUAUCCAAAAAAAAGAUUACGACCUCGAUGUUGAAUUAAUUAAACUUAAUAUAAGCAAAAUUUAUUAAAGUAAGUCUGUUCGACUUUUAAAUAAUU
RNAcentral lists this ribosomal RNA (428 nucleotides) under Spermophora cf. berlandi DNA100446428. RNAcentral's name for it is "partial 16S ribosomal RNA". The record is from RNAcentral. Lineage: Eukaryota; Metazoa; Arthropoda; Arachnida; Araneae; Pholcidae.